This 1537-nucleotide ribosomal RNA is filed under the name metagenome. RNAcentral describes it as "bacterial LSU rRNA". It matches the Rfam family "Bacterial large subunit ribosomal RNA", at positions 1309 to 2925 of the family's 2925-position model. The record is from RNAcentral.
GCGAGAAUUAUGUGAGAAUCAUAAUGGCCGAAUGCCUAAGGUUUUUGGAGGAAGGUUCGUCCGCUCCAAGUUAGCCGGGAGCUAAGGUGAGGCCGAAAGGCGUAGCCGAUGCACAUACGGUAGAAAUUCCGUAGCCGCCAAAAGAUUUAAGCAAAGGGACACAUUGAAAGGGCAUGACCCGGGCGUUGGUAGCCCCGGGCGUAAGGGACCGAAAUUUAGUAGGGAAGCAUGCUUGGACGGUGGCGAGAAAAGCUUUGUGUAUAUCUUAGGCGCCCGUACCGCAAACCGACACAGGUAGGUAGGAAGAGAAUUCUAAGGCCAACGGGAGAAGGGUUGUUAAGGAACUCGGCAAGUUGACCCCGUAACUUCGGAAUAAGGGGUGCUCACGAGAGUGAGCCGCAGAGAAUAGGUCCAGGCGACUGUUUAGCAAAAACACAGGUCUAUGCUAAAUCGAAAGAUGAUGUAUAUGGGCUGACGCCUGCCCGGUGCUGGAAGGUUAAGAGGAGAUGUGAGAGCAUUGAAUCGAAGCCCCAGUAAACGGCGGCCGUAACUAUAACGGUCCUAAGGUAGCGAAAUUCCUUGUCAGGUAAGUUCUGACCCGCACGAAUGGCGUAACGAUCUGGACACUGUCUCAACAGCCCUCCCGGCGAAAUUGUAGUACCGGUGAAGAUGCCGGUUACCCGCGGCUAGACGGAAAGACCCCAUGGAGCUUUACUGUAGCCUAAUAUUGGAUUUCGGUAUUUCAUGUACAGCAUAGGUGGGAGGCUUGGAAGCCAGGACGCCAGUUCUGGUGGAGCCACCGUUGGGAUACCACUCUUGAAGUACUGAAAUUCUAACCUGCAGCCAUGAAUCUGGCUGGGGGACAUUGUUAGGUGGGCAGUUUGACUGGGGCGGUCGCCUCCAAAAAGGUAACGGAGGCGCUCAAAGGUUGGCUCAGCAUGGACGGAAACCAUGCCCUAGAGUGUAAACGCAUAAGCCAGCCUAACUGCGAGAGCGACGGUUCGAGCAGUAACGAAAGUUGGAGUUAGUGAUCCGGUGGUGUGUGAGUGGAAAUGCCAUCGCUCAACGGAUAAAAGCUACCCUGGGGAUAACAGGCUGAUCUCCCCCAAGAGUCCACAUCGUCGGGGAGGUUUGGCACCUCGAUGUCGGCUCAUCGCAUCCUGGGGCUGUAUUCGGUCCCAAGGGUUUGGCUGUUCGCCAAUUAAAGCGGUACGCGAGCUGGGUUCAGAACGUCGUGAGACAGUUCGGUCCCUAUCUGCCGUGGGCGCAGGAUAUUUGAAUGGAGCUGUCCCUAGUACGAGAGGACCGGGAUGGACGCACCUCUGGUGCACCAGUUGUCACGCCAGUGGCGCAGCUGGGCAGCUAUGUGCGGACCGGAUAAACGCUGAAAGCAUCUAAGCGUGAAGCCGACCAUAAGAUAAGAUAUCCCACUGUUUUAACAGGUAAGACCCCUUGAAGACUACAAGGUUGAUAGGCUGGAUGUGUAAGCGCAGUGAUGCGUUUAGCUAGCCUGUACUAAUCGGUCGAGGGCUUGAUC